GAGCGGCGGACGGGUGAGUAACGCGUGGGUAACCUGCCUCAUACAGGGGGAUAACAGUUGGAAACGGCUGCUAAUACCGCAUAAGCGCACAGUACCGCAUGGUACGGUGUGAAAAACUCCGGUGGUAUGAGAUGGACCCGCGUCUGAUUAGGUAGUUGGUGGGGUAACGGCCUACCAAGCCGACGAUCAGUAGCCGACCUGAGAGGGUGACCGGCCACAUUGGGACUGAGACACGGCCCAAACUCCUACGGGAGGCAGCAGUGGGGAAUAUUGCACAAUGGGGGAAGCCCUGAUGCAGCGACGCCGCGUGGAGGAAGAAGGUCUUCGGAUUGUAAACUCCUGUUGUUGAGGAAGAUAAUGACGGUACUCAACAAGGAAGUGACGGCUAACUACGUGCCAGCAGCCGCGGUAAAACGUAGGUCACAAGCGUUGUCCGGAAUUACUGGGUGUAAAGGGAGCGCAGGCGGGAAGACAAGUUGGAAGUGAAAUCCAUGGGCUCAACCCAUGAACUGCUUUCAAAACUGUUUUUCUUGAGUAGUGCAGAGGUAGGCGGAAUUCCCGGUGUAGCGGUGGAAUGCGUAGAUAUCGGGAGGAACACCAGUGGCGAAGGCGGCCUACUGGGCACCAACUGACGCUGAGGCUCGAAAGUGUGGGUAGCAAACAGGAUUAGAUACCCUGGUAGUCCACACCGUAAACGAUGAUUACUAGGUGUUGGAGGAUUGACCCCUUCAGUGCCGCAGUUAACACAAUAAGUAAUCCACCUGGGGAGUACGACCGCAAGGUUGAAACUCAAAGGAAUUGACGGGGGCCCGCACAAGCAGUGGAGUAUGUGGUUUAAUUCGACGCAACGCGAAGAACCUUACCAAGUCUUGACAUCCUGCGACGGUGCUGGAAACAGUAUUUUCCUUCGGGACGCAGAGACAGGUGGUGCAUGGUUGUCGUCAGCUCGUGUCGUGAGAUGUUGGGUUAAGUCCCGCAACGAGCGCAACCCUUAUGGUCAGUUACUACGCAAGAGGACUCUGGCCAGACUGCCGUUGACAAAACGGAGGAAGGUGGGGAUGACGUCAAAUCAUCAUGCCCUUUAUGACUUGGGCUACACACGUACUACAAUGGCGUUAAACAAAGAGAAGCAAGACCGCGAGGUGGAGCAAAACUCAGAAACAACGUCCCAGUUCGGACUGCAGGCUGCAACUCGCCUGCACGAAGUCGGAAUUGCUAGUAAUCGCAGAUCAGCAUGCUGCGGUGAAUACGUUCCCGGGUCUUGCACUCACCGCCCGUCA
RNAcentral lists this ribosomal RNA (1280 nucleotides) under uncultured bacterium. RNAcentral describes it as "bacterial SSU rRNA". It matches the Rfam family "Bacterial small subunit ribosomal RNA", at positions 93 to 1399 of the family's 1533-position model. The record is from RNAcentral.